AACUGCGAGACAGUCGAGACUAAGCCAUGGUGAGUUGUGGACUGCGUGAAAGGAGCCGCAAAGCCUAGUUAUUACAGUCCUUUUAGUUUCCCAGCGUUUUCCUAGGCUAUACAGAAGUUCACAUGAACAGAUACUUCCAUGGCCGUUGCUAGCAACGUUUGUAAAUAGAAGGAAGUAACCACUGUCACUGGACAUUAUCCCUACUGACCCAGAACUGCUGGAACUUAUCAGCAACAUGGUGAAUCUCACUUAUUCCUACCAUUAAUCGUUCCCAAAUUGUUGCUGGAGGGGGACGAUUUGCAAGAUCACUAAGAGCUGACACUUCUCAAGACCGGUUCACAGCAUUAUUUACAAAAGGUGCCCCUCCUCCUCCUGGUGCAGGUACAAAUGGGCCAUGACUUGACACUUCGUCGCGAACAAACUCUUCACAGUCCUUCACGGCCUUAACUACAGCCGAGGAAUAAAGGUAGAUGGAGCUGCUGCUUCUGUGAGGUGAAGAACGAUGCCUACAAAUCGAAAACUAAAAACCAGACAAGUGGAGCGGAAGGAGGGUAGAACCAAAAUGAGCUGGAAUCUUACGCGACUUCCCCUUGAAAGUUUUGGCGAAGUAGGCCUCUUCGUCGUCCUCGUGUUCCUCGUCUGCUUCUUCGUCGCGGAGCAAGUGGCCGUAAUCUCGCUUGAUCUUCGACGUCUCCUGCUGCAGGAGUUUCGACUUCUUGGUGUCGUCCUCCAGGGCUCCCAGGGACCGGCCCAGACGGCGCGCUGCUGACUGUGGACGGGGAUGUCGGCAUUAUUCCAGCUGAUUUCCCUCUGGAGCCAUCUGAGGUUUAUUGCCUGUUGACUCCGUCCGUGAGGAUUCUCAGCUGACGAUUUAGAGAAAGGAGGAGAAGAAGGUCGUUCCAGAAAACCUCAAACUGUAACUGACAAAGGAGGUUCGAGAACAGUUCAUUUUGUUUAAAUUCAGUGAGUGUAAAACAGACUUGCCUCAAAAAUCAACUCUAUUAAUAAUUCUCGUUAUUUUAAAGUAUCAUUACUAGACGAGUUCAUUUGCAGCCGAAGUAACUUAUACAAAUAGUUUCAUGGACGCCCUUUGAGAGGUUCAUCAUUAUGGAAACGCUUUCUCUCACGAUUUUGAAACCGCAAAACCCGAUUAAAUUUGCUUCGACCGUUAGGCGUUGGUUUCCUCCAACCUCUCACCCCCAUUCCUCCCACCUAGUGCCUCCCCCGGCCCCCGCCCAACCAUCAUCACAACAGACAGAUACUUCCUGGCACUUGCUUUUACGUAUUCACCCGUGUUUGUGCCCUUGCU
Macrobrachium nipponense is the source of this 1309-nucleotide long non-coding RNA. RefSeq lists it as uncharacterized. The transcript has 5 exons. The record is from RefSeq and is a predicted model, not a curated record. NCBI's taxonomy places the organism in Eukaryota, Metazoa, Arthropoda, Malacostraca, Decapoda, Palaemonidae.